Molecule: microRNA precursor, 61 nt
Filed under: Pristionchus pacificus
Lineage: Eukaryota; Metazoa; Nematoda; Chromadorea; Rhabditida; Neodiplogasteridae
Description: mir-8364 microRNA precursor family
Rfam family: mir-8364 microRNA precursor family
Source: Rfam by way of RNAcentral
UCUCCAUUUUACACACUCUCUCGACGAUCAGAGAAACGAGAGAGUGUGCGAAAGGGAGAGA